UACGUAGGGUUCGAGCGUUAAUCGGAAUUACUGGGCGUAAAGCGUGCGCAGGCGGUUCGCUAAGGCCGAUGUGAAAUCCCCGGGCUUAACCUGGGAACUGCAUUGGUGACUGGCGGGCUAGAGUAUGGCAGAGGGGGGUAGAAUUCCACGUGUAGCAGUGAAAUGCGUAGAGAUGUGGAGGAAUACCGAUGGCGAAGGCAGCCCCCUGGGCCAAUACUGACGCUCAUGCACGAAAGCGUGGGGAGCAAACAGG
Molecule: ribosomal RNA, 253 nt
Filed under: uncultured bacterium
Lineage: Bacteria
Description: partial 16S ribosomal RNA
Rfam family: Bacterial small subunit ribosomal RNA
Source: RNAcentral